GUGCCAGCCGCCGCGGUAAUACCGGCAGCCCAAGUGAUGGCCGAUCUUAUUGGGCCUAAAGCGUCCGUAGCUGGCCGCGCAAGUCCGUCGGGAAAUCCAUCAGCCCAACUGAUGGGCGUCCGGCGGAAACUGCACGGCUUGGGACCGGAAGGCUCGAAGGGUACGUUCGGGGUAGGAGUGAAAUCCCAUAAUCCCGCACGGACCACCGAUGGCGAAAGCACUCUGAGAAGACGGCUUCGACAGUGAGGGACGAAAGCUCGGGUCUCAAACCGGAUUAGAUACCCGGGUAGUCC
This 293-nucleotide ribosomal RNA is filed under the name uncultured bacterium. RNAcentral's name for it is "partial 16S ribosomal RNA". It matches the Rfam family "Archaeal small subunit ribosomal RNA", at positions 455 to 747 of the family's 1478-position model. The record is from RNAcentral.